UAGGGAAUCUUCCGCAAUGGACGAAAGUCUGACGGAGCAACGCUGCGUGAGUGAUGAAGGUUUUCGGAUCGUAAAACUCUGUUGUCAGGGAAGAACAAGAACCUGAGUAACUGCCGGUACUUUGACGGUACCUGACCAGAAAGCCACGGCUAACUACGUGCCAGCAGCCGCGGUAAUACGUAGGUGGCAAGCGUUGUCCGGAAUUAUUGGGCGUAAAGCGCUCGCAGGCGGUUCCAUAAGUCUGAUGUGAAAGCCCCCGGCUCAACCUGGGAGGGUCAUUGGAAACUGAGGAACUUGAGUGCAGAAGAGAAGAGUGGUAUUCCACGUGUAGCGAUGAAAUGCGUAGAGAUGUGGAGGAACACCAGUGGCGAAGGCGACUCUUUGGUCUGUAGCUGACGCUGGGGCGCGAAAGCGUGGGGAGCAAACAGG
This 429-nucleotide ribosomal RNA is filed under the name Bacillota bacterium. Its description in RNAcentral is "Firmicutes bacterium partial 16S ribosomal RNA". It matches the Rfam family "Bacterial small subunit ribosomal RNA", at positions 355 to 776 of the family's 1533-position model. Lineage: Bacteria; Bacillati; Bacillota. The record is from RNAcentral.